This 253-nucleotide ribosomal RNA is filed under the name uncultured bacterium. RNAcentral's name for it is "partial 16S ribosomal RNA". It matches the Rfam family "Bacterial small subunit ribosomal RNA", at positions 524 to 776 of the family's 1533-position model. The record is from RNAcentral.
UACGUAGGGGGCAAGCGUUGUCCGGAAUUAUUGGGCGUAAAGCGCACGUAGGCGGACUCUUAAGUCGGUGGUGAAAUCCUGGAGCUCAACUCCAGAACUGCCUUCGAUACUGGGAGUCUCGAGUUCGGGAGAGGUGAGUGGAACUGCGAGUGUAGAGGUGAAAUUCGUAGAUAUUCGCAAGAACACCAGUGGCGAAGGCGGCUCACUGGCCCGAUACUGACGCUGAGGUGCGAAAGCGUGGGGAGCAAACAGG